This 435-nucleotide ribosomal RNA is filed under the name Carnobacterium maltaromaticum. RNAcentral's name for it is "bacterial SSU rRNA". It matches the Rfam family "Bacterial small subunit ribosomal RNA", at positions 1 to 420 of the family's 1533-position model. The record is from RNAcentral. Lineage: Bacteria; Bacillati; Bacillota; Bacilli; Lactobacillales; Carnobacteriaceae.
UUAUAUGAGAGUUUGAUCCUGGCUCAGGACGAACGCUGGCGGCGUGCCUAAUACAUGCAAGUCGAACGCACGAAGUUGAAGAGCUUGCUCUUUAACCAAGUGAGUGGCGGACGGGUGAGUAACACGUGGGUAACCUACCCAUUAGAGGGGGAUAACAUUCGGAAACGGAUGCUAAUACCGCAUAGUUUCAGGAAUCGCAUGAUUCGUGAAGGAAAGGUGGCUUCGGCUACCACUAAUGGAUGGACCCGCGGCGUAUUAGCUAGUUGGUGAGGUAAUGGCUCACCAAGGCAAUGAUACGUAGCCGACCUGAGAGGGUGAUCGGCCACACUGGGACUGAGACACGGCCCAGACUCCUACGGGAGGCAGCAGUAGGGAAUCUUCCGCAAUGGACGAAAGUCUGACGGAGCAACGCCGCGUGAGUGAAGAAGGUUUUCG